AUGGUUAAGUGGACAGACAUUUGCCUGCCCAAAGACCAAGGUGGCUUGGGCAUUGUGGCCUCCCGGCGUAUGAACGUCACAUUAAUGUUGCGAAGAGUUUGGAGAAUCUUGCGCGGGGAUGGAGGGCUAUGGCUUCAGCUCAUUCAGACAAAAUACCUUAGGGGUGAGCCUCUCUUGGCAUGA
This 183-nucleotide ribosomal RNA is filed under the name Triticum aestivum (bread wheat). RNAcentral describes it as "partial small subunit ribosomal RNA". Lineage: Eukaryota; Viridiplantae; Streptophyta; Magnoliopsida; Poales; Poaceae. The record is from RNAcentral.